AGGUUAACUUACUGAAUUCUAUUCAUGACAACUUUCAUCAAGCAAUGGCAUCUUCUGGUUCUCGUGAGCAGUUUUUACGGCAGAUGGAGCAGAUUGUAGAAGGCAUCAAACAGAAUCGAAUGAAGAUGGAAAAGAAGAAGCAAGAAAACAAAAUGCGAAGAGACCAGUUGAAUGAUGAAUAUUUAGAGCUUCUAGAGAAACAGAGGCUUUACUUUAAAACAGUGAAAGAAUUUAAAGAGGAAUUUCCGUAAGAAUGAAAUGCUGCUGUCCAAGCUGAAAGCUAGUUCUUCCUGAAGAACUCCAGCUGGUGAAGUUUAUAGGUGAUUGUUCAGUCCAUUGAAUCUCUUUGUGAGGUGGCAGUUAUAACUGCAAUGUAGAUAUAUAUAGAUAUAUAUAUAAAAAAUAUAUACACAUGGCUGUAAAAGUCUGGUUUUUUUCAGUAUGUAUUCAGUUUUACAUUCCUUCGUCACUUGGCUGUAUCAUUCAUUAUUGCCUCCACUACACAGUAAAGAAGUAACGCAGUACAGCAAAAUAGAAAUAAUGUCUAAUUUUAUUUAUGUGGGUUUCUUUUUUUUUUUCCUCCCCACAGUAAGGACAAUGGGGAUGUUUUAUUUGGGUUUUAACAAUGAAUUAGGUCGAGAUUCUGGAAUAAGUAGAUAUGUACUGUGUAAUAUGUCCACUACCACAAGAUGAGCACUGUAGAAUGCAGUGGCUUGUUAAUUUUGGC
Molecule: long non-coding RNA, 727 nt
Organism: Cariama cristata (Red-legged seriema)
Lineage: Eukaryota; Metazoa; Chordata; Aves; Cariamiformes; Cariamidae
Exons: 4
Source: RefSeq, a predicted model, not a curated record